Molecule: long non-coding RNA, 1315 nt
Filed under: Medicago truncatula (barrel medic)
Lineage: Eukaryota; Viridiplantae; Streptophyta; Magnoliopsida; Fabales; Fabaceae
Description: long non-coding RNA (MTRU_LNC003010)
Source: RNAcentral
UUUUAACUUCAACAAAAACCACAUAAUCAAACUCUUAAAACUAUAAUCAACACCACAACAAUCAUCCAAAAUCAGAUCAACAACACCCAUUCACUCCAAAAAGAAACUGUGAUCCACCAAAAUCCUUCCUCUUUGACCAUCAAACAAAGAAAAGAAAAUUUCUCACAAAUGACUCGUACACCUACAUUGAACAACAACAACGACACUACUCUUCUGUCUCUCUUCCAUUUUGCUUCUAACACAGAUCUUCCUCCAAUUCUUCAUCUUGGUAGUAUGUUUCUUUUUCUAUGUCUUUUUCUGUUUUUUUGGUUUUUUUUUAAUUCAUGUUCUAUAAGCUAGGAAUUGAUUAUAAAGUUGCAAUCUUUUAUGUAUAUAAAUUAAAAGGUCAUCGUUAGUUUAUAAUAAUCCAAUAAAAAAUACCAUAAAGUUAUCAUUUUUAUUAUUUUUGAAUACUCUUUAGAUCAUAUGGGUUAUUGAUUAAUUAAUUGAGUUUUGAAAUUAUUUUACGGAUUUUGAUUAGAUUUGGUGAAGAAGAAAAAGUUGGGUAGUGUGUGAUUAUGAAUUGAAGUGCAAUUGGGUUAAGAAAUGAAGGUGAGCCAUGCUUCAAUUCACCCAGUUGAAGAAGUUCCAACUACUGAUGGCGAUGGUGGUGUUGAUGUUGCUGAACGAAAUAGUGAGGAUGAAGGAUAUUCAAGGCAUGCCCGAUACUGCUGGUGGCCUUUCUCUGCGUAUUUUUCAAUUUAUUUUCGCUGCUGAUGCGCUGUCUGCUAUGGCUUUCACUAGUUAUUUUCCUAACAUCAAACACCUUCCCUCUAUGUCUUUUGGUGAAAGGGAAUGAUUUUGGUGAUAAAAAGUUUCUUUUUGGAGUUAAUGAGUUUUGGACUUUGAUGAUCUGAUUUUGAAUGAUGUUGAUGGUGUUAAUUAUAAAUUUAAAUGUUUGAUUUUGUGAAUUUUGUUGAAGUUGAAAUGAUGAAUUUUUAAAAGUAAAAAAAGAGUUGAAGAUGAUGAAGAUUGAUGAAGGUUGUAUGAAUAUGAAGAUGAGGGAAGAAGAUGAAGAAAAGUAAAAUAAUUCAGGUGUUGGUGAUACACAGUUAGAUAUGAUAGAUCUCAUUUAUCCAACGGUCUCCUUUUUUUGGGGGUUAAAAUUAAUAAAAUAGGACCAAAUUGAAUGAUGGAAAGAAGAUAAAUGACCGAUUUGGAGCGUUUAAUAGUUAGGGGACCAAAUUAAAAACUGAAAAUAAGUUAAAGGACCAAAUAAUAUAUUAAACCAAUGAUCAGUUAAGCAAAAUAACAAAGACAAAAUUUACUAAUUGAU